GGGAAUUUUCCGCAAUGGGCGAAAGCCUGACGGAGCAAUACCGCGUGAGGGAAGACUGCCUAUGGGUUGUAAACCUCUUUUUUCAGGGAGGAAUAAAAUGACGUGUACCUGAAGAAUAAGCAUCGGCUAACUCCGUGCCAGCAGCCGCGGUAAGACGGAGGAUGCAAGUGUUAUCCGGAAUCACUGGGCGUAAAGCGUCUGUAGGUGGUUUAAUAAGUCAACUGUUAAAUCUUGAGGCUCAACUUCAAAAUCGCAGUCGAAACUAUUAGACUAGAGUAUAGUAGAGGUAAAGGGAAUUUCCAGUGGAGCGGUGAAAUGCGUAGAUAUUGGAAAGAACACCGAUGGCGAAAGCACUUUACUGGGCUAUUACUAACACUCAGAGACGAAAGCUAGGGUAGCAAAUGGGAUUAGAUACCCCAGUAGUC
Molecule: ribosomal RNA, 425 nt
Filed under: uncultured cyanobacterium
Lineage: Bacteria; Bacillati; Cyanobacteriota
Description: bacterial SSU rRNA
Rfam family: Bacterial small subunit ribosomal RNA
Source: RNAcentral